RNAcentral lists this ribosomal RNA (252 nucleotides) under uncultured bacterium. RNAcentral describes it as "partial 16S ribosomal RNA". It matches the Rfam family "Bacterial small subunit ribosomal RNA", at positions 524 to 776 of the family's 1533-position model. The record is from RNAcentral.
UACGAAGGGUGCAAGCGUUAGUCGGAAUUACUGGGCGUAAAGCGCACGUAGGCGGCUUUCUAAGUCGGGGGUGAAAUCCUGGAGCUCAACUCCAGAACUGCCUUCGAUACUGGAGAGCUUGAGUCCGGGAGAGGUGAGUGGAACUGCGAGUGUAGAGGUGAAAUUCGUAGAUAUUCGCAAGAACACCAGUGGCGAAGGCGGCUCACUGGCCCGGUACUGACGCUGAGGUGCGAAAGCGUGGGAGCAAACAGG